UUACGAUUUCAGAAGGGGUCUGUGGACCACGAACUCCAGCAAAUCAUUCGCGACAACCUCUACCUCCGCACCGUGCCGUGUAUCCUGUAUCCUGUAUGUAGUCAAAGAAUGAUGCCUCGUUCUCAAAAGAGAGAAGCCACUGGUGGUCUUUUGUGUAAAGUAACAGCCCUCGGCUCUUGCCACGUCAUCAUUUCUACGCAUAUGUGAAUAGCUGUCAAAUUAUCGAAGAGCUCAUCACCGCAUUGUAUGUCAACAGGAAUGAGAUGAAACAAGUCCACUCUUCAUUUUUAAAAACAUGUAUGUAGUUCCAAUUUUAGGCUAUUUUAGAGAGUAAGGUAUUCAAAAUAUUUUACUUUGAAAUAAUUAUAGAGUCUCGGGAUUUUCCAAUAAAAACCAACAUAAUGCAUAUAGAGGUCAUGUUCAUCCUUCAAUAGAAUAAAUUCUUAUUUUGUAAAGGGACUUAAAAUGUGCUUUCCCUGUAUCUGAAGACUCU
Molecule: long non-coding RNA, 493 nt
Organism: Chinchilla lanigera (long-tailed chinchilla)
Lineage: Eukaryota; Metazoa; Chordata; Mammalia; Rodentia; Chinchillidae
Exons: 3
Source: RefSeq, a predicted model, not a curated record